Long non-coding RNA from Brassica napus (rape), 1541 nucleotides. RefSeq lists it as uncharacterized. The transcript has 2 exons. The record is from RefSeq and is a predicted model, not a curated record. NCBI's taxonomy places the organism in Eukaryota, Viridiplantae, Streptophyta, Magnoliopsida, Brassicales, Brassicaceae.
AAUAUGUUGUUUCAAUACUUAUUUUAAUUUUCUAUAUCAUGAAGAAAAAAAUUAAAAAAAAAUUUGUAUCGAAUUUUUAAUAUUAUUUGUAUUAGUCAAAAUGAAUGAGAUAUCCAUAAGUAUUCGUAAAUAUCCGCAAAUAUCUAUAUAUUUUCCGGAUAUCUGUUUUUCUGGAUAUCCGUAUUUUUUCAAAGCAAAGCAAAUAAAAAAAUUAGAUAUUUGUUACUUACGAAACAAAUCAUAAAUACUUUCAAAAACCCGGAUAUCGGAUCCGUGUCCAGUCCUACUUGUAAUAGCGAAUUUAGGAAUGCACAAAGAGCUGCAUUAGCUAAGAAAUCACAUCUAUAUUGAUUACCAAAAAAAAAAAAAAAACACAUCUAUAUUUUCCCAAAUGGGGUAUAAAUCGAGAACAUAUAGAAUCGAAUGAAUAAACAGAGUGAAUGAAUAUCGCGAAGCACUCUUGAAGCUUAAGGCAUCUGCCAUAGGUUGUCUUUUGACGUCAGUUGUUACGAUAAUUAUUUUUAUUAAUAAUUGUUGUUUUAUAGAUUACCCCUUUUUGGCCGGCUAUUAACUACUUACCCCUUUUAUAUUCAGUGCAUUGCAUUGUAUUCGUAUAAAAUUAAAAUUUUGGAUUGCAAAUAAAAGAGGCCACUAUACAAAUUCCUUUUGUACAAUUUAAUAUAUACUUUUAAACUGCACUUAAGAAAGUGUAUACUAGAUAAUUGAUGGGAGUAAUAAUCAUGGAUGAUCAUCAUCCAUUAAACACAAGAAAAGGACUGACGUGGCUUGUGGGAAUAGGAGUAGUUGAAGCAUUAUGACAAGUUGAAGGAUAUAGUUGGUCCUUAAUGGAAGGCAUCAUCAUUCUCGUGAUGACCAAACAGAAAAGGAAGUUAUAGCUUAUUCAAAUCUAAAAUUGACCAUAUAAACACAAAGAAGGAUAACUCUUUAUUCAUCUCGAAUCCUCUUACCUUUCAUAUUGAAAUUAUGAACGACAAAACCGAGAUCGAAGCUACCAUGGAGAGUACUGCAGCAGUGAGCACUGGCGGGCUAUCUCGUCAGACCAGCAUCACUAAGACCAAUUGCCUUUGUUCACCGACCACUCACCCGGGCUCAUUUAGGUGCAGGCUACACCGAACUCCUUCCCUGCAACGUACCAAGAGCGUUGAGGCAACAAACGUACUUCAAGAUUCUAUGGCUAAGCCGGGUGCUUCUAGCACCGGGGAUGAACCGGCUAAGUAGUCGCUGGGAUAGCCUAUAAUCUUCUUGGACCGGACACCAAAACAGGUUAAAUUAGACCGCCGGUGUUUGAAAUCGGAUCCCUACAAAUUUUCUCCAUUUGGAUGGCCAGCCGGAUAGUAACAUUUCUAUUUCUCAUUUCUUCUCUGUGUCUUGUAUUUAUUGGCUUUAUGUAUAGAAGGGUUUCUAUUACUUAAGAGUGUGUAAAACAUUUAAACUCACUAGAUGUUAGAAAAAAAAAACAUUUAAAAACUCACUAUCUUCGAAUGUCUGAUACAUAUAUUUAUUGAUAAUUCGUUCACUUA